ACGAACGCUGGCGGCGUGCCUAACACAUGCAAGUCGAGCGGGGAUUGUGGAGAGCUUGCUCAAAGCAAUUCUAGCGGCGGACGGGUGAGUAACGCGUGAGCAACCUGCCUAUCACUGGGGAAUAACGCAUCGAAAGGUGUGCUAAUACCGCAUGAGACCACAGGACCGCAUGGUCAAGGGGUCAAAGAUUUAUCGGUGAUAGAUGGGCUCGCGUCUGAUUAGCUAGUUGGUGAGGUAACGGCCCACCAAGGCGACGAUCAGUAGCCGACCUGAGAGGGUGAUCGGCCACAUUGGAACUGAGAAACGGUCCAAACUCCUACGGGAGGCAGCAGUGGGGAAUAUUGGGCAAUGGGCGCAAGCCUGACCCAGCAACGCCGCGUGAAGGAAGAAGGUCUUCGGGUCGUAAACUUCUAUCCUUGGUGAAGAUAAUGACGGUAGCCAAGAAGGAAGCCCCGGCUAACUACGUG
This 467-nucleotide ribosomal RNA is filed under the name uncultured bacterium. RNAcentral describes it as "bacterial SSU rRNA". It matches the Rfam family "Bacterial small subunit ribosomal RNA", at positions 29 to 507 of the family's 1533-position model. The record is from RNAcentral.